This 404-nucleotide ribosomal RNA is filed under the name Actinomycetes bacterium. RNAcentral describes it as "Actinobacteria bacterium partial 16S ribosomal RNA". It matches the Rfam family "Bacterial small subunit ribosomal RNA", at positions 355 to 776 of the family's 1533-position model. Lineage: Bacteria; Bacillati; Actinomycetota; Actinomycetes. The record is from RNAcentral.
UGGGGAAUAUUGGACUAUGGGCGCAAGCCUGAUCCAGCCAUGCCGCGUGAGUGAUGAAGGCCCUAGGGUUGUAAAGCUCUUUCACCGGUGAAGAUAAUGACGGUAACCGGAGAAGAAGCCCCGGCUAACUUCGUGCCAGCAGCCGCGGUAAUACGAAGGGGGCUAGCGUUGUUCGGAUUUACUGGGCGUAAAGCGCACGUAGGCGGACUUUUAAGUCAGGGGUGAAAUCCCGGGGCUCAACCCCGGAACUGCCUUUGAUACUGGAAGUCUUGAGUAUGGUAGAGGUGAGUGGAAUUCCGAGUGUAGAGGUGAAAUUCGUAGAUAUUCGGAGGAACACCAGUGGCGAAGGCGGCUCACUGGACCAUUACUGACGCUGAGGUGCGAAAGCGUGGGGAGCAAACAGG